Molecule: non-coding RNA, 98 nt
Organism: Caenorhabditis elegans
Lineage: Eukaryota; Metazoa; Nematoda; Chromadorea; Rhabditida; Rhabditidae
Source: Ensembl
UGCUUCUACUCGUAUUGAUGGCAUAAAAACUUUAUUUAUUCACAUUUGCAGUCUUAAAUUGGGCUGAAAAUGUGAAUAAAUACCGUAUUUCUGCCAAC